GUCCAGGGGCGGGAAUCGAACCCACAACGUUCCGCUUACCGGGCAGAUGUCAUGUCCACUAGGCUACCCUGGA
Molecule: transfer RNA, 73 nt
Filed under: Cordylochernes scorpioides
Lineage: Eukaryota; Metazoa; Arthropoda; Arachnida; Pseudoscorpiones; Chernetidae
Description: tRNA-Thr
Source: RNAcentral